GCCCUCUAGAUAUCUUACCCCUCGGAUCAACAUAUUGGUCUGAUUGGCUCAAAAGGAGGAAGAGUACAACUGAAGUGGAUUUAGAGACUUUAGUGACAUACAAGUUCAUUUCAAACAUAU
This 120-nucleotide small nucleolar RNA is filed under the name Echinops telfairi (small Madagascar hedgehog). Its description in RNAcentral is "Small nucleolar RNA SNORA61 (ENSETEG00000025832.1)". Lineage: Eukaryota; Metazoa; Chordata; Mammalia; Afrosoricida; Tenrecidae. The record is from RNAcentral.